Cavia porcellus (domestic guinea pig) is the source of this 318-nucleotide unclassified non-coding RNA. Its record names the gene 7SK. It matches the Rfam family "7SK RNA". Rfam says of the family: 7SK was discovered as an abundant small nuclear RNA in the mid-70s but a possible function has only recently been suggested. Two independent studies have found that 7SK RNA binds the CDK9/cyclin T complex (known as elongation factor P-TEFb). The record is from Ensembl. Lineage: Eukaryota; Metazoa; Chordata; Mammalia; Rodentia; Caviidae.
GGACUUGAGGCCAGUUGGCUGUGACAUCUGUCACCCCAUUGAUCACCAGGCUUGGAUUCAGCUUAUCUGGCUGGCUGGGCAGGUGUCCCUUUCCUCCCUCACUGAUUCAUGUGUGUCCCUUGUCCUUCCCAAAGCUUCGAGCCUAGUUUGAUAGAAGGGGACCAGCCUGAUAGAGGAGGGUCACUUCUAGUCAAGGGUGCAAGAGUAAUUGUUCUCUCCUGCUAAAACCUCUAAACAAGCUCUUAAAUUCCCCUAGCCUUUCUUUGGAGUGGAGAUGAAUAACCCUUUUGAGAGAAUCUUAGCUACUGCUGUGUUUGA